CAAAUAUUCUUGUCAAACUUGACACUUGAGUAAUUGAAAAGUGAAUCAUAAGUGAAUAUGGUGGAGAAAAAAGCCAAUAUAAAAUCAACAAAUGCAUCGAAAAAAAAAACAAAAUCAGAAGAAGGCAAUGAAAAAGGUCAAAAAAACAAUUCUAAUAAUGCCAAUACUAAGAAGCAUAAAAAAAAUAGUAGUAUCCCUUCUGAAAAGAUAUCAAUAGAAAUGAUCAAGGAAUCAUCUAGAACAACAGCCUUCAGUGACAUUGACUCGAAAAGUGUAGACGAAAUACCAACCACUGGUGAAGAGCUUUUGAAAUGGGCAAGGGAACAAAUGAGCUUCAUAUCCAGUAGAUCUAAUGAAGAAAGCUGUAUUGCCUUGGUAGAAGAGUUGGAAAUCCCCGUUCCUCCAUCACCUAAGAAGAAACCACAAUCUCCAAAAAAGGCAAAGGGUGAAAAAGAAGGAAAAAAGGAGAAAACCAAGAAAAAGACUGAAAAAAAGUCUAAAGCUGCUACGACGGAAAAAGUCACUGAUGAAGAUAUCCUUGAUCCAAAUGUACAAGGACCUUUAGAAGAUGAAGUGAUGUUUCGGUGGAGAUUGAAAAAAGAAGAACAAAGACGUUUAUCCAGAAGGAAGAUUAAAAGCGAAGUGACAUUUGUCGAUCCAACAGUUAACGUGGAAAGAAGUUCAAGUUUUGUCGAAAUGAAGAAAGAACGGAGAAAAACAAGAAAAUCCAUUAUGGCUGCCAAGAAAGAAGCGCAGAAAAUUCUCGAAAGGGAAAUGGAAGAACAGAGACUUAGGGAAGAGUUAUUUCAAGAAGCUCUCUUGAAGCAACAACAAGAAGAAGAUGAAGAAAUCCUCAGGGAGCAAAGGAACAGCGUGACAUUAAAAAGAAUAAAAAAAUUCGAAAAAGAACGACUAGACAACGUCUGGAAUCUCUUAAGGAAAUCAGAGGAAGUUCACUACAGGACCUGUCAAAAAAUUCCUCUAGUUACCAAAGCAGAUCAAUUAACUGCUUUCGUGAAAAAAUGGAAAAAUGACAUCGAAGAUAUGAAUAUUGAGGAACUCGGAGAGAUUUGCAGUGUGAAUCUAGAACUUCUGAAUCAUCUGAAAGAAUUAGUCUUCUAUACAUCUACGAACGAUCCUGAGAAAAUGAACCAAUGGAAUUGGGCUUCAAGAAUGUUGAGGGACGUGCAGAAAGAAAUGUUGGAGAGAGCAAUAUUCAAUAUCCUUUCAGACAUAUACAAGAAUUUGAAGAUAGAUAACUUAGAUUACGGAGAAUACUAUCACUCGAACAACUCAUUCACCCUCUCCAUUUGGUUGAAACUAGACUGGCCUGUAUCUUUACCAGAUCCCAGGAAACCAGCCGAGCCAAGCAGAGAAAUCAAUCUGGAGGAAUUAGCCAUAACUUGCGUACUUCCCCAAUCUAUACAGUGCGAUCAGAAGAUUCUAACAUGCCUCUAUGUGCCCUACGAUCAUGUCAGUGAUACCUGUGAAACCUUCUUUCCUCUACCAAAACCAGAAUAUUUGACCAAAGAUCUUAUUCAAACAAUCAACGAAGAUAAAUUGCGCAAGCAAAAAUACGCUUACGAGAGUUUUCUCAGGUCUGAAUAUAUAGAAAAGGUGGAGAAAUACAAGCAGAAGCACCCGGAAGGCAAAUACCCAACGCCAUUCUUGCUUCCAGAAAUACCUUUAAACGCAGACAUACCGAAGACGCCUGUACAAAACCUAGAUCCUACUCCCAGCGAAUACGUAGAAAUGGCUGAUGAUGUCCUUUACGAACAUUGCUUGAAGGGCAUAAGCAGACAGACUGCAGAAAACGAAGUGAACUUAAGAGAAUAUCAGCUGAUCGGAGGUUUGUUCAUGAUCCAGCUGAUGUAUCAUCCGCCACAGCCACAGCCAUUAGUCAAAUUGCAUAUGACCGUAAGGACAGUAACUCAGCCUAAGAAGCUCGAAAUCGUCCCUUUUUACAAGGAAUUCCAUCCUCCGCCCCCUCCGUGGAUGUACGAGGAACUCAGUAGAAGUCUGAGUUCCACUACGAAGUCCUUGAAAAACAUCAGAUCCAAGAGGCUUACAGCCAGAUACGGCAGCAGCAGAACUAUACAAGGAAAAGAGGGAAGUUUUGACCCGGAAGAGGUGCAGAAGUACAAGGACGCACAGGAGCAAUGGGAGCACGAUGUACAACUCGAGAAAGAAAAGUUGAUAUGUUUUAGUUUAUGUUUACCAAAGGACGUGAUCUUUUUGGAGAACCCCAGUGUUUGUCUUUGGGAUGAGAACUCAAAAUCUUGGACCACUAGAGGCAUAUAUGAAAUCGAUUUUGAACACAUGGAAAGAAAGUUAACUUUCAGAUCUUCUGGAUUUGGAUUAUUCGGUUUGUCAGUAAAAAGGCACAUGAACUACCCAUAUAAGAACUGGGAUGUAAGACCCAAUGCCGACGAUUCUAUUUCCAUUGUUCUGGAAGGUUCCAAGGUCACAAUUAAUCUUACUAUACACGAAUCCAACGUGAGAAUUGAUGAUUUCGAGUACAGACUAUCUGAGUUCUUGGUAGGUAAAAAAGGACUUAACUGUCUGAAAUUUAAGAAUUGGAGCCUUUCAAAAUUCAUAGAGGUAAUGCAGUCAAGUGGGCUGGACAUGUUUCCAGACUACGAUGCCAAUUGUUACUAUACAGGUCUUACUGCCCAUUUAGGCUGCAAAGGCUUUACUAACUUCAACUUUAAUAAUUAAUAAUAAUUUUAUUUGUCAAGAAGGAAACUAUUAACAAUUGAAAUUAAAUUAGAAAAAAUAAAACCUAUGACAAACAAACUGAAAUACCACAAAGUCAGAGACUGUGUGUGGCUUAAAAAAACAUGGAAAUUACAAAGAUAGUGGUCACUUUGAACAUAUAUCCAAUAAAUCGAAAAAACUAGAAAGAUUAACACUAAGAUUGCGAAAAUUGCAAAGAAAAAGCACCCCAAGAAGAUCAUCUCUCAACCAGACGAUGGAUCUCAUAUCUGUCUCGCCCCAUCAAAAACCUCUUCAAUCUUCACUUGAACAUACCUAAACUGCUUGAAAGCCUUAUAUUGUUUUGCAAGUAGUUGAAGAAUCGGGACAGCAGAUAAGAAUAUCCUUGUUGUCCUAUUGAUUCGGAUGCAUAAGAAGUCUCGAAAAAACUGUUUGCCCUCCUUGUCCCGUAAAUACACACUCUCGCCCGAAGGUUGGAUUUGUGAUUGAAUUCAGAGCAGCACACUCUAAGGAAAUAAAUUUGUCGAGGAGCCCCGACUCCAAGAAGAGUAGAUCCGAAGGAUAAAGUCGUGGUUUAUAUAGUAUAAUUCUUAUAAUGGCUUUUUGUAAGACGUCGAUAUGUUGUGGAUAUGUUUCUUCAAAGCCGAUCCCCACGCCGCUACUCUGUAGGAAAUUCUGGACUCGAUCAACGACUUAUAGACCAUCCUCACAUGUGUCCCUUCAAGGAAAUUCCGCAGGUAUUUGAACUUAUACAGCAAACUCCUCAACGCUCCACAGACACUCUGUACAUGUUUAUUCCAUCUGAGAUGACAGUCGAUAAUUAUUCCAAGAUACCUGACAGACUCACUCACCCCGAUCUCAGCACCAUCGAUGUUCAGCCGCUCAAAGAGAGGGAGAACGUCUCCGCGGCAGGAGAAAGGCAAGCAGACAGACUUAUCAAAGUUGAUACCACUACAGAAAAACAUUGGGGUAUGGCCUACGUUACUUACUACGCUAUGGCACAGUCAGCCAUCCGAUACAACUUUGCAAGCUCCAAGUGGAACGCAGAAACGGGAAGAAGAUCUAUAGUCUUCCGAGUAAGAGAAUU
RNA transcript from Harmonia axyridis, 3802 nucleotides. It is a transcript of the gene named dynein axonemal intermediate chain 7-like, with no coding region annotated. Lineage: Eukaryota; Metazoa; Arthropoda; Insecta; Coleoptera; Coccinellidae. The transcript has 19 exons. The record is from RefSeq and is a predicted model, not a curated record.